This 202-nucleotide long non-coding RNA is filed under the name Mytilus galloprovincialis (Mediterranean mussel). Lineage: Eukaryota; Metazoa; Mollusca; Bivalvia; Mytilida; Mytilidae. The record is from RNAcentral.
CUGCCUGUUCUUUUACUCAAUAGACUCGAUGAAUUAACGUUGUACUUGAAAAAUGAAAUCGUACUUUACUACAAACACUUUUCAUAUUCUUUGCCAAGCUUUAGGUAUUCGACAAAGGAUAAGCAUUUUUUUUCUGAUUCCGUUUACUUGAAGAAAAAACAGUCCCGAAUUUGUAAGUAAAUUCAUAACACAUGACAACCCU